AUUAUUAUUUUAACAAAUUUGACUAAGAGUUUAUUUUCUAAACUUUUCAGAAAGCAUUUCAUAAGUAUCAUUCACCAAUUCAAAUUCAUAUUGAACAGCUGGUAGCAUAUGCUCAUAAAAAUGGAUUUGGAGAUCCAUUUUUUAGACGUCUAAAGUUAAUUGUAUGAUUGAUACUUAUGAGACCAUACCUUAUAAACUCUAUUUUGGUUAUGAGAUAAUGCCUUAUAAACUCAAUUUUGGGAAUCAAUAAUUUUGUAUAUUGAGAUAAUGAUAUGCAUCAAGCCAACACAUUACUAUAUGUAAGUUCUCCCCUUAAUUUAUCAUUGGGAAAAUAUAUUUGAUAUAAAUCUCCAUCUAUCAUUAAUUGUAUUGAGCCAACUUGUUUACAGCCUAGUAGGCUGAUUAUCAAUUGAUGGUUUGGUUUUCCCAAUAUUAGGGGGAGAUGGUAAGCAGCUAAAAAUUGUGAACCUGAUGUUCAAAUAAAUUAUUUGAAAGGAAAUAUUAUUGUCUCUUCUUGAUCCUCAAGAUAUAACUCAUUUGCAAAG
This 545-nucleotide long non-coding RNA is filed under the name Medicago truncatula (barrel medic). RNAcentral describes it as "long non-coding RNA (MTRU_LNC008583)". Lineage: Eukaryota; Viridiplantae; Streptophyta; Magnoliopsida; Fabales; Fabaceae. The record is from RNAcentral.